Long non-coding RNA from Rattus norvegicus (Norway rat), 17068 nucleotides. RefSeq lists it as uncharacterized. Lineage: Eukaryota; Metazoa; Chordata; Mammalia; Rodentia; Muridae. The record is from RefSeq and is a predicted model, not a curated record.
GGGAGGAAAAGGGGGAGAGGGAGGGAAAGGGGGAGAGGGAAGGAGGGGAAGAGGGAGGGGAAGGAGGGGAAGAGGGAGGGGAAGGAGGGAGAGGAGGAGGAGGAGGAGGGUAUAGAGGUUAAGAUGAAAUAUCACUAUCAUCUUUGGUAUCGUCAAGGCCAUGCUGAACCCAGGCUUUCUCCCAUGUCUCCCUGCGGCCGUCCACCUUCCAGUCUGAAUGGCAGGGACCUUUAUACCACCCCACAGUUUAUUCUCUGCAGGUAGUGUACACAGUCUGGUUUACACAGAAGGUAAACAGUCUGGAAUCCAAACCUGACGCAUCUCUUAUGCCCAGGCUUAGACUGCUUACUUCUCCCUGGACCAUUGUGACCCUUUCUAUAGUGGUUUUUAUCUUGGUGGUGGUGGCGGCGAUCGAACCCAGGGCCUCGCCUCUUGAAUGCUAGGCAAGCACUCUACCACUCAUCUACAUUUCCCAUGCCUCUGUGCGUGUGUGUGUGUGUGUGUGUGUGUGUGUGUGUGUGUGUGUGUGUGUGUGAAUCCUGAAAUUUUUGCUGUCUUUCUUCGUUUCUUUCUUUUCAUUUCUUUUUUGAGUCAAGGUCUCUAAGCUUAGGCUUGCCUCAAACCUGCAGCAGUUCUCCUGCUUCUUGAGGGCUGGGGUUACACCAUGCCUGGCUUUGCCUUUGGUUGUGGUAGUGUGUGUUUGUGUAUGAGUGAAUGUGCGUGUGUGUGCGUGCGUGCGUGUGUGUGUGUGUGUGUGUGUGUGUCGCACACACGUUCUCCAUAGUGUUGUUUUUGUUUGUCUGUCAUAAUUGACCCUGGACAGAAGGACCGUGAGAUCAGCUCCGACAUUGCUCAAUACCCUCCCCAGUGUCUGUGCUGCAGAGCACACAGCAGAACAGGAAGCUGGAACAAGGACUGUAGGCUGUGAGGAGCAGCCUCGGUCCUAGGCUUGUACUAGAGUCUCUGUUGACCUUUGACCCGUUCUAGUCGGGGAAAAAUCCUAGUCUAAUACAGUCCAACCAGCUGGACGGAUUGAUUGCUUCACCUCAGUCAGGCGUUCCAGUCCCUGACUUCCCAGCCCUAAUGCAAAUACAGAAACUCCUGUGUUCGUUGUGACCCACUUCCUUUCUUACCGGUCCUGCUCAGGGUGGAGGCUUAGGACUGAGUGGCUUCUCUUGUUUUUGCAAAAGGCAAAUAGCCUCCCUGUCACAGCUACUGCUUGGUCAAUAGGCCUUCCUGUUGGCACCACCCAGGGGGGAAAAAUGGGGCAAUGCUUAUGUCCUAGGAUGUUAUUCAAAGAUACCCAGAAGGCUUCAACAGGAUGUAAACACGCUUGUUAAGAUCACGAUCACGGUGUUGGGGUUGGGGAUUUAGCUCAGUGGUAGAGCGCUUGCCUAGCAAGCACAAGGCCCUGGGUUCGGUCCCCAGCUCCGAAAAAAAGAAAAGAAAAGAAAAAAAAAUCACGAUGCUAUGCAAAUUUGAGGGUUGAUGAGGGUUACUGUCAGCCUCGGCAUGCAGGGCCAUACAUAUAGGGUCUACACACGGCUGGGCACACAUGGCAACUCAAAAGACCGUGUAUAUGGUUUCAGUCCUUUAUCUGACAGGCAAAGGGUGUCACUGGAUGAGAGCCUCCUAUGUAGAGAGAUGGACUUUUGCAUAGAGUUUGGAGUUUGCAGGGGACAGGGGACAAGGAUUGUCCUCAGGAUGUCACCAGUCAGCAGGAGGUAGCAGGGUAAUUACACAUAAAAGUACUGUACCCAAGAUGCUGACUCUUCAGGAUUAAAUGCAAGCUAAGGGACUAACCCAGAUUGAUGCAUUCUAUCCAAAUGCUGCCGUCAUCGCUGGACAAGGGGGUGAUCAGACACGGGUGAGGUUAGCUUGAGCGAGGGUUCGGAAAGAGAUGUUUUGAGAAGUGCGUUCGCAGGAAAUACACCUUUACUGUCUUAAGGCUGAAGGCUAGAAACCCAGACCAGCUGGAGUCCCUGCAUCUUGGCCAAAGCGAACAACAGGAGGUUAGAGUGGGCAGAAGAACAAGACACAAUGGUGACACAGAGGAGAGCUUUGGUGGCAGUUUGCGUGGGUCCCCAGUGUGCCCUCUGCAGUGACCCCUCCCACACCCAGCUCAGACCCUCUGCAGAAAGAGCAGCGAGGGUAUCCGGGCUAGAAGCCAAGGACCUCAGGAUGAUACCUUGGACACGCUUUGGCCGUGAAACAGCUUUGUCUCCUUAACGAUCCUCAUUGUUAACGAUCUACUUUGGGGACUGUUGCACAUAUCCGGAUAUGUACCCCUGACUGUGGUAGACCCAUGUUUGAAGACAGACAAAGACAGAACGAUGGGUCUGGGAUUCAGGAGCCUGGUGCAAGGCUCUAUCUGUGCUCUCAGACAUUUGGGUCACUUUUCUUCUCUGCUGUCUCAGUCACUUCACAAAACAACUAGGGAAGGAUUCCGAAAAACGGUUUAAAGCGCCGUACCUACUCCGAGAUAGUGCAAAUGUGUGGACACAGAGACUGGCUAGCACAGCAGCUGUCUCCAUCUUGCUGGGAGGUGCCAGCGGUGGGUGUUGUUACCCCAAUUUGCAGAGGAAAUUGCAACUCAGACAGCCUCGUGAUGACUGGUCCAGAAUUAUGCAGCAAGCAGAGGAUGAACUGAGAAAGGGAGCCUUCUACUCCUGGCCUACUAGCCCAUCCCCAACGACCUACUCUGUUAGUUAACCAGAGUUCAGCUCCCCAGCUGCCCCUCGGGGGGCUUGGAUUUUUCCAUUUAACCUAUUUCUGAAGAGGAAAAACAAUGCAGGUCAAGGGAUUUUCCCUCAGUGACAGCCUGAGAACACAAAGCCCAAGGAUUGCGGCUUAGUGAGCUGCCCCAGACCGCGGGUCUCUCUUCCCAGAGGCCCUGGCUCUGCUUAAGGCUGGCCAGAAGCCGAGGAGGAGCGUGGGGGCAGAGCUCCCCAGAGGCGCACAGAUGGGCAGGCUGGGCCGGUAGCCGGCCUUUCAGCAACCUUUUUGUUUGGCAGCCAAACAGCCAGCGUCAGCUCGCCUGCCUCUCACCUCCUGGGCCUCGCCCUUCCCCCCAAGGAGGUGGGGGAAGCUGAUGAUCUCCUGAGCCACCCGGCCUUCCUCCUUUAUGGGGGGUUGGAGAAUGAAAGAAGGCCUGCAACUGGUGUGGGGCAACUGUUGCCAUCUGUCUAGUGGGACGUCACUAGGCAGGGUCUCGCCCAUUCACUCUUCACGCACCGCUGGGCCCCGGCCUUUUGUCGCUGGGGCCGGGUGGCUGCGGGAGGGAGGGCAGCAGGAGGAGGACGCACAGUUUCUUUGUGUCUAGACUAAACUUUCAGCUACUCACCAGGGUUAUUUGCAUGAGUGAGGAGGCUGACCAAGCCCCACACCGCUCAGGUGAUUGACAACUCCUAGUCUCACUUUGGCUUAACGGAGUUGAAAGCAAUGGCGCUCUCUCCUCCACCGAGGCUGGUCUUCCGUCUGGUCCCUCUGACCUACCAACACCUGCUGCCUUUGCUCCCAAACCAGGAGGAAAGUGGACCAGGUCGUCUCUGGUGCACUAGACAGCCUGGACUUCCACACCAGGACAUCAGCCUCACACCCAGCUCUGCAUCAGAGUGGCCUUUGUGUGACAUCUGACGAAGCCUGCUCAGACACUCCUAUGAGCCAUAUUCCAUCAGACUGCAGGGGUUGGGCUGGAGAAGGAGAGGUAGUGCUGAUCCUGAGACCAGGAGUCUUGCUUGAGUCAGGCCACCUCUGAGGUAGAUCCUGUCACCAUAAGGACUCAACAGAAGCUUUGGAUUUGGGCAGAUAGUUCUGCCUGCUGGUCUCUCAUCUGGAAUGAAAGUCAAAACACUACAUGGAAUCUUCAGUUGUGCUGUAAUGUUUUCAGUAAACUUGGGAUAGGACAACAACAAUAUCCUGUGUGUUCCCUAACCCCAUCAUACAAAAACACAUACACACCCAUAAACUCAGCGUUUAGCACCAUAGCGUCCAGAUAAAGGUUUGAGAAAUAGGUGACCAGGUCUGCCACUCAUUGACUGAUUAUCACCCAGAGUAACAAUUACCCGUUCUGAGCCUUCGUUUCCCUCUGUGUAAAAUACUAGUAAGGACACCUACCUUCUAGUAUUGUUGUGACCGGAGACCUGAUACACAGUGGCCACAUGCAGAAAGAUCUCACCAUAGCUGAUUAAAAAAUAAAGGGGCCUCUUUGCUUUCUCAUAUGUAGUCAGCCUUCUGUUGAGGUUUAGAUGCUAGGGAUGAGACUAAAUUCUAGGGAUGUUAAAAAUCUCUACUAAUAGCGUAAUAUAAGGUCCAGGACAAAGUAUAGCAAAAUCUAUAGUCUAGUAAAAUCUAUAGUAAAAUCUGUAAGUCUAGGACAGAUCCUGCUUUGAGUGUUUCUUGGCAAAACAGGGUUCUUCUUUUUCUGAAAAGUCUUUUUUUUUUGUUUUUUCGCCUCAAAUUGUUCCCUCUGAAGCAUUUUAGAACAACAGCACCUAACAACUAAUUCUUCUCCACCCCUCCUCCUUGCCAGUUUCCAAUGUGUUGCGUGGACUAGCCUUGAACUUAAGCUCUUUCUGUCUCAGCCUCCCAAGUGCAGACACUAAAGGUAUCUGUCAGGCAGUAGCUUGUUUAAUAGAAUUUAACAUCCUCCUUUUAUUAUGGACUCUUAUAGUGUCCUUCCCGAGCUCUUGGUGUGUGUGUGUUUUGUGUGUGUGUGUGUGUGUGUGUGUUGUGUGUGCGUGCGUGUGUGUGUGUGUGUGUGUGCGUGUGUGUGUGUGUGUGUGGUGUUUAUGCCGGCAUCAACAUAUGCUGGGACACCUGCUCGGAGUCCUUCCUCACCUGGAGACUUACCCAGUAUGUUCUUUUGUCUGUUCUGAAGCAGUACACAGACGUCCCUCAGUGAACACAGAGAUUGGCCAGUCACAGCUCACAGAUCACUGGCAGUGAUCCAGGGCUGUUACCUGCCAGGCUGUGCUGACGUCAGAGGUGAACCUCUGUGGAUGUUUUGUGUUAUUCAGAACAAAAGCCCGGAUGUAUCUGGGCCACUCGGUAAGACUAGGUGACUGGGGACAGGAAGGAAAACAAGGAGCAACACAGCAUUAGGACAGAGUUCCCAGGAAGCCGGGGGAUCUGGGUUUCAGAGUUCAGUCUGUCUUCAGGUGCAAGUCAGUCAAACCUAGUAGGUGUCAAUGACUGCUUCUGUAGAGUGAAUGGACCUAUUUCCUUACCACACUUUAGGGAGGAAACGGGCCAUAGAACUGAACUGAAAACAUGUUUUAUAUUCAUUUUGUAUGAGAGAGAGAGAGAGAGAGAGAGAGAGAGAGAGAGAGAGAGAGAGAAACAGACAGAUGGGCUAGUAGAUCCAUUCACUAUUCAUCAUUCUUUUCAUAAGACCCAAGAAUAUGAUCCCAUCGGUGCUAUUAAAAACUCAUGAACACAGCUCUGUGCUACCUGCUGGGGGAGCAUUUGGAGGACUCAUAUGACAUGAUUCCUCCCUUUAAAGAAUUUACAAUCCAAGUCGCUCAACUGACACAUGAAACAUUCAUGUGUGUGGCAUUGACUGUGACUCUAAACAAUGGCUCUCCAACACAGUCCGUUCCAUUCUCCAAUGAGAGGCUGGAUCAUCAGGCCAUGAGACCAUGGAGCCUCAGAGGGGACAGGCCCCACUCUAAGCAUCACAGUCCUCUGCCUCUCUGUCAGCUGAGCAUGGGCUCACCUGUGAGUCUGCCCUCUUUCUGUGACAAUGCAGAUACCUGUUUCCAGUGUUGGCUCAUCUGCACCUGCCUGUCCCCCGCUGUCCACUAACGCUGUCAUGAUCAUUGCAGUUGCUCUCAGGUGGCCCUGGGUUGGACACUAGGGUGCUACUGUCCCUCUCCCAGUGUCAAAGAAGGGUCAUCACUUCUCCCUUCCACAAAAGAAAGAGUGUUGACGUGCCCUUCUAAUUGUACACCCCUCAAGGACAGGUCACUAGAAAAGGUGCAAGCCACUGAGCUUUCCUCACAGCACAGAGAAGGAGGCGUGGCUUUCUCGGUGGGUGGGAGCAAGUCUUGGCUGGGGUAGAGGAGCUGUUUGGUUGACCAGUGCUCUGUUGGGCACCGGCUUUGGCAACCCCAGAGAGAGGCGGAAUAGCAAAGACUUCACAUCAGUGAUGAGGAUACACUAGGGUGAUUUUUUUUAAAUGAAAGAUGAGACGUUUUAAGUAAAAGAAAAAUUAAUACCAACUCACACCCAUCUUGGCAACGAUGGGCAACCCAUUGUUUUGAAGCAGCAUUUGACAUUGGGAAGAUGUCCAGACAGGGCGUUCCCAGGGACUCUUACUUUAUCCCCAGGGUCUUUUUUCCCCCUUUUUCAGAGCUGGGGACCGAACCCAGGGCCUUGCACCCGCUAGGCAAGCGCUCUACCGCUGAGCUAAAUUCCCAACCCCCCGGGACUCUUACUUUAAAGAGAGCACCACUUACUUUAAAGCAGCAAGCACUGCCUUCCUCCCAGCUGUAGACGUCUUAACUAGUGCCUUUGCCUUCCAAGGAACAUUUGGCAACUCAAGAUACUUUGAUGGUGUUCACUGGGUCGGGAGGGGGAUACCCUGGAGGGACCCAAACCCAAGGACAAACAGUAAUGCACUGAGAACAGCUGCCCUUCAAUAAGACAGCAGACAGAUAAGGAUACAGUGGUUAGGAGGGAGGAAUAGGAGCUUCAAGCAUCGAUGUGGAUAAACCUUGACCACAUAUUGUUCUGUGGGGAGAAGUCAAUUACAGACAUUGUGUGAAGCCAUUGUACAGUUUAAAGACACAACCUGGGUAGCCAAUUAGAUCGGCCGUUUAGACUCUGGUGCUAAUCGGCACGAACAACUCUAGCCAGUUUGAGAUCUAUAAAUAUGCAAUAAAAGCCCGGGCCCUCAUUGGCUGAUGAUACAACCCAACCUAAUAAACCAGCCAGAAGUUGAAAGCUCAAUGGACCUAAGGCUUCCUGGCUCAGAGCACAGCGAGCGUCCUGCAUGUCAUGGCUGGGAAAAGAUAGAAAGUUCUAAAGUGCGCUAUCUACGGACAGUGCACUGCUCUCUCACUAUCAUAAAGUUAAACUAGAAGGCAAAGGUGGACUAGAGAGACCUUGCCUCCCGAGAGGGUGGAGAGCAGGAGACUUCAGGUGCAGUUCCAUUUAGAGGAAGCAACUUCGAAGUGAUGUUCGCAUGCACUAAACCUGAAUGGUGGAUUCAUGGUGCUGGUUACAUUGAUCGCCAGGCUUCAGUGUAUGUUUUGGGGAAAUAUAUCAUUAAUGAAAAGAGAAGGAUGUAGGUUCAAGGACAUGUGCUCAUCCUCCGUUCACACGAACCCAGAAGGGGGCUUUCGGUUAUAUAAUGUUCAUUUUAACUAUCUUUUGUUGUCACCCAGCAGAAGGUUGCCUGAGUUUUUGUGGAACAUAUGCAUAAAAUCCCCCUCGAAGAUCUUUCAGCCCUCCUUAGGAAAGCUCUUGUUGGAUGGUGUCAUGGGAUGCAUACCACCUGACUCCGUGUCCACGGUCACCCAGACCAUUAGAGCGUGAGCUCAUCUGGAGGCAUUCUCUUCGCAAAUGUAAUUACCAAAAGUCUAGGAUGAGAGCAUACUGAAUCAGGGAGGUCCUUAAAGCUAUGCCCCAUGUCUUAGAAGAGAUUACCAGAGGGACCAAUAGAAGACACCAGAUGGACAUGGGGACAGCAGAGAGAUGGAAGUGACAGGGCUGCAAACCAAGCACUGUCGGGACCUGCCAGGAACCAGAAGAGGCAAGCAAGAUGGUUUCUAAGACCUUCAGAAAAAAGCAGAGCUCUGAAAGCACAUUGUGUACUUUUGGCCUCCCGAAUAAACAAGAGAAUAAUAGAUUCUAAAAAUUGCCAGACCGCCGCAUUUGUUGAGGCUUUGUCAGGCCAGCCGUGGGAGAUGAACAGUGAUGAGCGUUUGAAAUCAGCCUCAAAGCAGGGCACAGCUCCCACCAGAAGCCAUUACUUUUGCACUACAAGGAGGCAGGAAUUUGUAGGUGACAGUCCCCGUUCCCAUAAGGAUUCUCUACAUCCUGGUGGUGUCUCUUACUCAGCCCUUGGGGUGGUACCUCACAACCCCCAUUCCACAGAUUUCCUGAAAAAAUAAACUCUGCCGUGUGGUGUGUUUGACCGCUCAGAGCCGUUUCUUUAUUAUGGAGACUUCCCACCAUGAGAGACAGAGCCGGCUCUAAGUGAGAUCAGCAGCUGCUAACUUUGCGAUCUCGGUUGCUUCUGGAGAACCAGCAUGGGAGUCCGUCUUGCUAGGCUGAUCUAGACUUCAGAGUUGGUGACGUGAGAGAGCAAAGGCCUCAUGGAACCUGUGCUGGUGAGGUGGAGAGUAGAGGCAGCGGUAGCUGGACUCCAUGCGGAAGCAGCGCACAGUUCUCUGCAGUGUCGAUCCAGCGUGAGGGCCUCGGCGUUGGGGGCGGGGUGGGGGAGGGGGGUUGGAGGGCUGCACCGUGAUCUUCAUGGACAUGACUUUGUGGCUGCUUCCGGGUUGCACUGGUUCCACUUCUAUGUUGUCCAAAGUCCUCUGCUCCUGACAUACCUUUAUUACUAGGCAUGGAGCUGUGUGCCCUGGAGCCUUGUUAUGUCCAGUUCUGUUGGGGGAGCUUGGGCUUUCUGGAUCUUUCUAUGCAACAACCUUAGUCACACCCUCUGAGUAUCUGGCUAUGGUUGGCUAUUAUCUCUUCCUAAAACUGCGGGCUAAGCCUGAAGCCCGUGGCACUCCCCUGUUGUCUCAUCCUGUCUCCAGAGCCUAAUCUCAUCAAGACCCAAGGCUCAGUGCGAGACACCUGGGAAGGAGGGGCGGGGUUUGUUGGGAUAGACUGGAGUCAAGGCUGCUGCUAAUUCUUGUCGACUUAUGAAGAUUCAGGGUUUGCCGUUCAGGUUUCCUCCUUGCUCAGUCAGGGACUCUGACCCAUUUUCUAGUCUCCAGUGGAAUCGUGCCCUUUGUUCGUACAGUGUGCCCAACAGCAGCCCAGACUUGGGUGGAAACAGAUCAUUUGUCGUCAGCGUUUGCAAUUCCUGUUGGGGCCCAGUGUGGCUGGGUGUGGCUGCUGGGCCCUUUGUCCUUCCUAGCCAUUUGCCUGUAGGUUCUCCCUUCCUCUGCUCUCAGGGCUGUGCUUCAGUAAAGCCUGGCUUCCGUCAGCAAGGCAGCCCUACUUGCUUCUGGUGUAGGCUUUGACCUUAGGGCAUGAGCUGGUUUUCAGGAGUCAAAGCUUGUGCAACUGCAUAAUUGAGCAAGUGUUGGGUUCCCGUGAGCACAACUUGGGGACUUGAGAUACCCAGGGUCUCAACUGGCUGCUGAAGUCACGUUUAUUAGCUCCCGCCUGUAUGACUGAGGUGGAACCUUCUGGGAAAGUCUGAGGUCCACAUGGGACCAUUAGUUUCCUGAUGGCACUUUAGCGGUGGAGUCAGUGCCUGGGAGCAUAGUAGAGUGGCUUAGUCACAAAAUAAAGGAGAACAUUCAGGCCACUCCUGCUGCUUCCUUAGUCACACUGGUCCUCCUCCUCCUGGAUGAUGAGGAGGAGGGGGAGGAGGAAGAAGAGGAGGAAGAAGAGGAGGAAGAAGAGGAGGAAGAAGAGGAGGAAGAAGAGGAGGAAGAGGAGGAGGAAGAGGAGGGGAAGGGGAGGGGGAGAAAGGAGAAAUAAUAUUUGGUACUUUAUUUGGUGUUUUUAUCAAACUGCCUUGUGAGUUUCAGAAUGAGCAGUAUCUUUUACAUUGUUAAGACGAAAAUGAGUCUGAGUCCCUACCUACCUCUACAAAGACCCUGAGAGCUUCACGGCUCCUUCCCCAGCAGCCUUGCUCAGGAGCUGGCUGUGACUGAGCUGUGCCCCCAGAGAGGGACGAUCCAUGCCUGGUGCUUCCUUCUAGCAUUCUUCCUGUGCUCUGACCUGUCUUUUCCUGAACCCCCUAGAUAAUCAGGUCUGUGCAUUUGCACCAGAAGACAGAUCUUCCGUUGGCGUGCGGCUAACCAAAAUUCACCACCGCCUUCACUUCCGAAGGCCACAGACACGGCAGCCCUCGAGGCUCCUUCCAUUUCCCCCUGAAGUCCUAGAUUUCAGUUUUGUUAUUUUGAGACUGGGCCUCUUGUAGCCCAGGUUGGCCUUGAUCUGAUCAUCAUGGUCUAUCUUCCAAGUGCUUGGCCUAUGGGUGUACGUCGCAAUACUUGGCUUGAGAGCAUAGAUGUUUUUAUAUUACGUUGCAUUUAUUGAAAAGACCUCAACAUGCCUUUUGCAUUAGCAACACUUUGAAUUAACUUUAGUCAAUAAGCCUCUAGAGGGAUUUCGUUAAUUGUAGUAAUGAAGAAAUAUAUACAUGAUAUAUAAAUUUUAUGUUUUACAUUUUCGUAUCACAGUAACUUGUUUAAUUACUGAACUAGCCUGGGCUGCAUGUGAGAUGCUGUUCAAAUCAGACAGCCAAGCCAGCAGUCUGAAAAGCUGAGCAUAGUGGUCCCUGUAAUCCUACCUACUCAGGAUGGUGAGGCAAGAGGGUUAUUUAAGCCAGGAGUUCAAGGCGGGUCUGGGAAGCAUAGCAAGACUGUUUCAAAACAAAGCAAUACACAAACAGAACAAGAUUCUGAGCAGGGUCCCAUAGGCCUCACCUGCUUUGGCCAGCACAAAAGGCACCUGGUGUCACUGGGUCUUCUGGUGACAGUGGUUCUCCACCUUAAUGUUGUGACCCUUUAAUACAGUUCCUCAUGUUGUGGUGACUUCCAACCCUCACAUUAUUUUCGGUGCUACCUCACUACAAAUUAGCAGCUGUCAUUUUGCUACUAUUAAGGAGCGGAAUGGAGAACGGCUGGAUUAGAAGAACACUUGGAGAAAUCUAGCUGUCAUGGUAGCCUUUGAAAGGCUCUGGAGUCUGACCAUGUGAUGAGAGACACUGCCCCCUUGUGGCCAAAGACAAAACAGCGAGACUAUAGAGCCGCUGCCCUUAGUAGGGUGGUAGUUAAGAGUCUGGCUACUCAAGUCUGAAAGAGAGAAUUCCGGCAGUGUAGGUGUAUUUGUUUUUAGUCUAUUUUAUUGUUUUUUAUAUCUAUCAUCCUUCUCCACUCCAAUCCCUUCCAAAGGCUCAACAGCAGGUAGGUUAGAGGGGAAGGGGACUUAGGUCUCUUUAUACUAUUUCCUGCUGAGUAGGGGCAUAGUUCCUUAGAGCAAUCCAAAUCUUCAUCCUGUCAGGAUAUCUCAAACUUCUUGUUAAAUUGCGACAACAGCAACCAGGAGCAGCAGGGACCACCACCACCAGCGGCAGCAGCAGCAGCAACUCCCUCCCCCUCCUCCCCCAUCUCUUCUUCAGAGCCCCUCUCCUGACUCGGGCGUUUAUACCCUCUCCAGAGUCCCCAGAAUUAAAGAAUCUACAGCUAGCAGUAAUUCUACCCUUGCUGGAGCAAACAGUCUGCUGCUGGGGACACUCUGAAGCAGCCUCUCAUAUCUCACAGCUGGGAUUAAAACAAAGACAAGUUCACAUAACAUAACUGAGUUCUUAAAGAAACCAGAACUCUCACUCUAGGUGAUUUGAUUCCUAUGUAGCAUCCUGCCUCGCUGCUUUAAAUGCUGUCUGUGGUCCAGCCAUUUUUUGAUGCCUAACGUAUCUGAUGUUCCUUCCAUAUUUGGGUGUUAUCUAUGGCCAGAUCAUCUCCCCUCUUGUCUAGAUUACUGUGUCCCACUCCAAAGCCUUCAACAUCAGGCUCUUGACAUCUCCCCGCAGACCUAUGGUCAUUUUGCCAGCUCUUUCUCAGUUUGUAACGCCUGGCCCUCCUUGGGCUGUUGAUUCUGUUGUUAUCCAAUGAACGCCUCAGUAAGAAAGCCCCGCCCUUCAUCUGUAAGAAAGCCCCGCCCCUCAUCUGUAAGAAAGCCCCGCCCCUCACCUGUUGUUUACUAGGGAAGAGGGAAUUUUAAUUGAAAAACCACAGCCAUAAAGGCUGGCAGGAUGGACUGAGUCAUCCUCCAGUUGCAUCAGUCUUUUCUAUCCUUCAUCCCCUGGAUUCUCAGCUCUGCAGAAGCACUGACAGACUGAAGAGAAAGGUGGUCAGCAUCGUGGCCUACAUGCUUCCCUGGUGGGUGUGGCUAGCAUCACAUGGACUACAUGCUUCCCUGGUGGGUGGCCCAAGGUCUGUGUGUGUCUUAGUCCUUGUGUAUAAAAACAACAUAUAGUAUCUAGUGAAAACAGUAACAGCUGUGGCAGUGUGCACAAGCAGUAGCAAACGAGGUGAUACAAGUUAAGUUCUGUGCUGACUUGAAUGAGGAUAGCCCCCAUAGGCUCACAUGUUUGAAUACUUAGUCCCCAGUUGGUGAGACAAUUUGUGAAGGAUGUGGAGGUGUGACCUUGUUGGAGGAGGUGUGUCACUGGAGGUGGGCUCUGAGAUUCAGAAAACUUAGCUCUCUCUGCCUCCUGCUUGUGAGUCAAGAUGGCGCUCUAGCUGUUUGCUCCACCAUCAUGGACUCUAGUCUCUGGAACUGUAAACCCCACUAAAUGCUCUCUUUUAUCUGUUACCUGGGUCAUGGUGUCUUGUCACCCCAGAAAAGUAGUCAGAGUAAGUCCUUACCAACUGGUAGCAUGAUGAAAAAUGGUGCCCGAGUCUGAGGGACAACCUCUUUCUUGUGUCUCUCAUGUGAGACAUUUAGAAAUGAGACUUAGAACUGAGGCGAAUGCAUGCAUGGCUUUCUUUGUUUCCUUUACCUGGGUUGGUUGCUGUUACAUUCUAAAUCUGAAAUGGCCCCCAUGGACUCAUGCCUUAGAUACUUAACCCUUGUCUGGUGCUGCUAUUCUGGGAGGCUUGUGGAACCUUUAGAAGGGACCCGCUAGCUGGUGGAGGCAGGUCAUUUAGGGUGGAACUUUGAAGGUUAUACAAAGCACCUGAUUCCUACCCUGCCCUCUGCUCCUCCGUCUGCUGCGCUGUGAACAGCAACUCCCGUACACUCCCAUUGCUGUGAACGGAUGGAUCGGAACCCUGAGCCCAGAUAAAUCAUUCUUUUCCUAACUUGUCUGUCAGGGGCCAACCCAGCAAGGGAAGGUCGCUAAUCCUGCAUAUUGGUGUCAGGGAAUGGGGACACUGUUAUGAUUAAGUCUGCCCAUGUGGCUCUUAGACCUUUCAAACUGGUUUGUAGGGAACAUUUGCAGAGGUUUGGAGACGCAGGUUAAAGAACCCCUAAUGAUACAAGAAGACCCUGGUGGGUGAUGCUGGUGGGGGUCAACAGAUCUCCACCCCAUCCCCACCCCGUGCUAAUGCAAGCACAAACAGUGAGGUCUGGCUCGUGAGGCUGGCUUGUUUGUUUGUUGUUGUUGUUGUUGUUGGUUUUUUGUUUCUGUUUUUUGUUUUUUGACAGAGUCUCUCUCUAUAGCCCCCUGGUUGUUCUGGAAUUUACUAUGUAGACAAGGCUGGUCUGGAACUCAAAGGCGCAUGUCACCAUACUCAGCUCUCUCUCUUUUUUUCCUUUUCUUUUCUUUUAGAUCUUUUUUUGUUUUCAGACACAAGAUGGAAGUGUAUGCUGUUCCCCGGAGCUGGGGACCGAACCCAGGGCCUUGCGCUCGCUAGGCAAGCGCUCUACCGCUGAGCUAAAUCCCCAACCCCCAUACUCAGCUCUCUUGAGGUUUUAAAUGUGAACAAGGACUUAAGGAAUUGGGACUAGAAGCCAUUUGUGUUAUAGAAUGGCAAAGACCUUACAUAUGCAUUCCCCAUGUUCUGACCUUUUAAGUGAGGCUAAGUUGAAAUGGAAUGGAUAAUUCGGUGGAGGAAAUACGGAGAUAGCGUUCGGGCUGUGGCAUGGCUAUUGCUACUGCCUCAGGGCCGGUUUACAGUGAAAAAAUGAGGAUUAAAAAAUAUUUUUCAGAUCAGAAGGAUGCAAGAAGCGAACAGUUUGGCCAGGAAAGGGAGCUAUGUAAAGUCACAGAUAAAGAUGCCGUGUUAAGGAUGACAGCAGACGCUGAGUCCUUUGUAUUAAGACGAUAGGAAGGCUCUUCAGGUGCUGCAGGAUUAGUGAGACUUCAGUCACACAGGUUUCAGGGUGUAAAACUGCAAACUCAUUUGAAAGACUUCUCUAAAGAGAGCAUGCCAAUCGGGUGCCCGCCUCACAAGGAGAUACCCAAGGGCAGCUUUACCUGGGUUCAGCUGCCGAGAGCACUCAGAGGCCUCGGUAGCUAUAAUCCAAGGAAGCCCAGCUGCCACUCAGGGUGGCAUUGUUUCCACCGUGCUAGCUUUCCAGGUGUGGAGAGUGCAAGAGUUCUGGGGUCAUGGAGGUUUCCUGCAAGAUUCCAGAGAAAGGCCAGAGUAGCCAGGCGAAGCAGUAGAGGAGGUCUGGAAGGCCAUGCACGAAGCAUGGAGAGAAAGCCUGAGCUGCAAUGGAGACCCUGUGAUGCUGUAGGCGCCAGGAACAUGAGCGUUCUAAGGAGCAUGACCCAAACAAAGAGAGCGUGUGCACUGCAAACAUUAUGAGGGCCAGGGCAGCUGAAGUCCAUUGGAAGUCACACCAUGCUGUCCCAAAUGCUGGACAUGCAGCUAUGGGAGUUCACGUUCACCCUGCUGGUAUCUGGUUUUGCUUUACUUCCAGUCCUCCCCCCUCUUAUCCCCAUUCGUCCUUUAGGAAUAUGAUGCUCACCCUGGACUAUAGACUGAGACCAGGCUACUUAUAGGGCCUCGUGGCUAGAAGGUUGUCUUGAGUCCCAGAAGAGCCUUUGAACUUUGGUCUUCUGAAAGGUCUUAGGAUUUGUUAAGGCUCUUGAAGUUCGAGUUGAGCAGGGGUGGCGCACCUUUUUAUCUCGGCACUCGGGGGGGUGGCAGAGCCAGGUGGCUCUCUGAGCUCAAGGCCAGCCUGGUCUACAGAGCAAGUGCCAGGACAGUCAGGGCUACAAAGAGAGUGUAUAAGUUGUGUGUGUGUGUGUGUGUGUGUGUGUGUGUGUGUGUGUGUGUGUAAAUAUAUACAUAUAUUUAAAUAAUAAACACACACACAGCUUUUGAAGUUGGGUUAAACACACUGUGAGGUGCGCUAUGAUGGUUGGGCUCUUGAAUGUCUCUCUCAGGCUCAUUUUGAAUGCUUGUUCUGUAGCUGGUGGUGCUACUUUGGGAGGCUAUGGGACCAGUAGGAGGUAGAAGAAGCAGGUCGCUUGGAGUGUACCUUCGAACCUUAUAUCCAUAUCUUGGUUCCUGCUUUGCUCCCUGCUUCUUUGUCUGCUGUGAUAUAAACAGCCUUUUGUCACACACUCCGUGCCAUGAACUGAGUUUUCUCUCCCGUGCUAGAGUGAGAUCCCAUGUAACCAAGAGUUACCCUCUGUGCCAGAUCUUUGAGGCUCUCAUAUUCCCCACAUUCUAUCGUGAAACCCACUCCGGGGCAUCAUCAGUUCGGUUUGGAGUUGGGGCAGUCAGAAUCUGGCAUAUAUUCAUCCUCAGUCACUUCCCCUCCUCCCUCCUUACUUCAGGACAAUGUUAAGUGCUUAGCCUGGCCCCUGGCACCCGAUGGGUUUCAAGAGACGCACAAUGAGAGGACUAAGAGUAGGUAGGCAGCUUAGAUUUGGUUCUUCCAGAACCUGGUGGGACCGCGCUCAGUUCCCAGAAGAUGCCACUAGAGGGCAGCAACCAUUAAGGCAAUAAUACACGAGCUCAGCCAGGUUCAGAAUUACUAGGUUGACAAGAGUGGAGAAAGAAAAGCAUUUAGAAUGCGUGUGUGUGUGUGUGUGUGUGUGUGUGUGUGUGUGUGUGUGUGUGUGUGUGUGUGUGUGUGUGUGUUGGGGGGGCGAUGACAAUAACAGAAAUAAAACAAACAAAAAACCCUCAAACAGUUUUUCUUUCUCUUGGGAGACAAAUGAGUGUGUAAAUAAUGAGACUAAAACUAGGAACUUUCAUAACACAACACUUGCUAACUUGAGAGUUUAAAUAGGCUACUUUUUUUUAAAAGCACUUAUAAAAGAAAGAGUUGAUACCGUUCAAGGUCUGUGUGACUGACUAGAUGCCCCAAGGCAACACCAAGGGCUGCCACCAACGAAUCCAUUCUUGCAGAUGCACUUAUAAAAUAACUUUAUUGGUCAGGUUGGCCACCACUCAUGCUUGCUUCUUGCUGAGGACCCUUUAUAGAGGCCAGAUGGUAUCUGCAUGCAGGUGCUUCUCAAGAGCUCUGGGCAGGGCAGCCUUGCUCCACAUGUGGCACUCCCUGGUUCAAACAAGCUGGUUUGGCUUUUGUGGAUUUCAGGAUCUGGAACCCAUGGCACAGUCUAAGCACCCCACCCCACCCUGUCCUUUUCAGGGAAGCUUGCUCCUAAGUGCACACAGAGUCAUGGGUCUAAGGCAUCUGGGAAGGGACCUACCUCAGGCUAACAUCUCACAACUGGUUCUUGCCACUGGCUACCCGUGGCUCUUUCCCAGUGAGUCUAGAGAACCCGAUGGCUGUACCUAGGCAACAUCACCUUUAAAAAGGAGAAGACAGGGUUGCUCUCAGACAAGCUACACGUCACAGGCACCAUCAGUAUAAGGUGUGGUCCCACAGUGUGGAAGCAGAGGAAACUAUGUCUAGUGUAGGUAAGCCUUGGGCCUGGCUAGGGCUUCCUGUACCCCAGUGACCAUCUCCAGAAGAGCUGGUACCUUAAACUCUAGCUUUAGGGACAAACCAGUUAUGGAGAUCACACCCUUGUCUGGGUUAGUGGGUGGGUCCACGGCUGGCACAGUCUGCCUCUGCCUCUGUGUAACAAACCUCCAUACCUGGAUCCAAGGAUGGGCAGAGGCUCUUUCUCAUGGUUUGGAAACCACACUGGCCCCUUUGAUACUAAAAGCCCAAGAAGGGGCACAGAUCAUGUUGGUCAGGUGAAGCUGGAAGGGGGGCUGCCCCUUCAGUCCUGCCAUUCUGAGGUGUGACUCUUCCCCAUCUUAUUGUGGAUCCUAAAAAUGAGCAUUUGACCCUUCUCUCCUCUGAUGGAUCCUCCAUUAUAGGGCUGGUUAUCCCCUUGUAAUUAAGUCAUGACUAUCAGUCACCAUUAUACUGUUCAAUACGCUGACUUUAAACAGGUGACGUUGUGUGUGUGUGUGUGUGUGUGUGUGUGUGUGUGUGUGUGUGUGAUGGUUUUAGAUAU